AUUUAAAUAGUUUAAGUGAAAACGUUGAUUUGUGGUGUCAAAGAUAAAUAAUUUUUUUUAAAUG
This 64-nucleotide transfer RNA is filed under the name Chrysochares punctatus. RNAcentral's name for it is "tRNA-His". Lineage: Eukaryota; Metazoa; Arthropoda; Insecta; Coleoptera; Chrysomelidae. The record is from RNAcentral.